Leptidea sinapis is the source of this 803-nucleotide long non-coding RNA. RefSeq lists it as uncharacterized. The record is from RefSeq and is a predicted model, not a curated record. Lineage: Eukaryota; Metazoa; Arthropoda; Insecta; Lepidoptera; Pieridae. The transcript is spliced from 2 exons.
AGUACUUAGUCAUUAACAAUUAACAUAGUCAACCCUUUUACAUUAUACUAACCGUUUAAUAAUGGAGAUUUCUCCCCCGGAACCUCCGGACCCUCCGGAUAUCCCCACACUCGCCGGGUCAAAACGGCGUAAACAUACAAGCAGCUCAGAAGAAAACGCUGCAAAAAAAACUAUAACUGAUACGGAUCUGGCUUCGGCGUCCAUUCAGAAUGUAUUUUGUGACCUAAGUUUAGUUAUUGGUUUUAAACAAUAUACGGAUUUUGAUAAAGGUCCAUUUAUUAUCCAUGUUUCUCGUAUCGAGGAAGACCCUACCUCAGGCCAAACUAUAAAGCCCAUCAAAUUCGGUCAACUACUGCAUAGGCAUAAAAUUCCAAAUAUUUGCCCUGACGGCAUAAAAAAAAUCGGUAGGAAUAAAAUAGCUGUUACAUUCAAAUCGUCUGGUGAUGCAAACAAAUUUUUAGAUAACCCUGUAUUAUCUGCCAAUAAAUAUACAGCAACAAUCCCAAACUUCAACAUAACCAAGAUGGGUAUAGUCCGCCGGGUUCCUGUGGACUUAUCUAUGAACGAGUUUGUGGAGUCUGUCAGUCUUCCCACUGGUUGUGGUAAGAUUUUAAAGGCUCGCAGAUUCAACAGAAAGGUCAUUGAGGAAGAUAUUAUUAGAAAAUUAAACUUUAUGUAAUCUGAACACCGAUUAUUACCGUUAAACUUAGAAGACACAUACUCAAAGCUUGGUAGUCUAAUCUAACGUGAUUCUGGCAAAUCUGUGGUAUAUCUUCCACAGAAGCCACAGUAGGAAGAAUAGA